GGGGCAGGGAGCUAUUGCGGGGCCCUGGGGAGAGAAGGGCAGAAGGUUCCCUACAGUGGGAGAGUCUCCGACGGACGGAGGGCAGCAAGGGAGCAAGACCAGGGGUGAGACAGCCUCUCACUCAUCCCCAGGAGCCUGGAGGCAGGCGGGAUGGGCACAGCAGGAGAGGCAGCACCUGGAGGAACCUUCGGGUCCCGACAAGCCAGCCCAUCCUCAGAGCCAAGGUGGCUUCCACGGAACCGAGAGGACACCCGAGAACCCACGUGCACAGAGACAAAGAAUUUGAGGAUGUGCCGGCAGCCAAGUGACAGCCCAUCAGUCUCUGCCCAGACACCCUCUUGACAGCUCCUGCCCCAGCCCGGAUGCCACCCCACCCAACGGUCACCCCCAGCACCAGGCCAGGAAGGGAGGCGGCCCAGGGAAGAAGGGGCUGUGGGGAAAGGCACGGAGUCCGGAAGCCCAGAGGAACAGUCUUCAACCUGUGGAUCCGGCCGCGCCUGGCCCCGCAGAUCACUACUCCUACACGUCUUGAGGCAAGGUGACCCCAGCGUGUGACUCCUGGAGAGCAGCCCGUCAGCACCUCUGCAUGUUGGGCAGGUCCCAGAGGCAAUGGCUCUGGACAAGGAGGCCAAGGUUUAAAACCCAGUUCAGCCACUUCCCGGUCAUCAUACUUCUCCGUGCCUCAGUUUCUCCCCUGUAAAGAAGAGCUGUUUGACUCACUUGGCACUAAGGGGUAGUAGGUGAUACAAUGAAGGAGUGCUCAAAGGAAGGGACUCUUAACCCAGACUGAGCCCUGGCAGAGUCUCAAGCCGGACCCGGUUAUAGAAUUUUCAUUCGUGAGGAAUGAGCCCACCCAUCCCCAGCUGGAGACAGCAAGUCGGGGUUUCUACGCAAAACUCUCAUGAGCUUGUCUUUUCUGGAAGACAGUCCCUUCCCGAGUCCUUGCUACCCUUUCUUACAGAUCACAUGCUUUCACAGCCCGCUCCACCUACAUUAAUGGAGCCUAGAAAGUCAAGGUCUCUUCUCUAAGGUCGCUGGCUAGGAAGAGAAGGAAGCAGGACUUGAACCCAUGCCUUCAAGCACUGAGGACAACUUUUCUCUCGUCCCUGCUCCCACCUCUUCUGCUGGUUCAGCGGUGGAAACCAGUCCCUGCUUUCUGCAGGAACCUGAAAGAAGAGGCCUUAAACUCGGAUUGUUUGGGGAUUACUGGGCUCUUGGCUCCGAGGGACAAAGCUCAGGCCUCUGGGGGGACCGAGCUCGAUGGGACAGGAGAACCAUGUUUCCAUGGAGGCAGGGGCUUCCCUGGGAAAGUUCUCCUGUACCCCCACUGGGCCUUCCCUCCUCCCUCCCAGUUAUUGAUGCUUCACACACAGUCCCACCCAGUGGGCGAGUAACAGAUGGAAGGGCGGACCCAAAAGGAGCAGAGGAAAGAGGCGUCCCUCGAGCCAUGUGACAGUUUUCUCUCCGUCCCCAGUCUCAUCCAGCUAGUGUCCCUGGGCACCUCAGCAGGCCCAGCUGCUGCAGCUCAUUACAGGUGGGGGCUCCGGAGCCCAGGGCCGGGCUGUGGCACUGACCGCAGGUCUGGGCCAAGGUGCUCCGUAGCUAUGGACUAACACAGUGGGUUGUGAAGACUUUGUGCCCCCGAAGAGGACUGUAAAAUAUCUCACCAACAGCCCUUUGUAUCGACAACCUAUUGAAAUGUAAUAUUACGCUCAAACAGGGUUGAGUGAAGUAUGUCAUGAAAAUGAACUUCACCCGCCACUUUGCGCUGUUCCACUGUGUUAUUCGGAAAUGUAAACUACACGUGGCCUGCAUUUGUGACUGUGCUCCAUUUCUGGGGGGCGCAGAGGGGGCUCCCAGGUCCCCAAAUAGCAGGUGGCAUCCGCUUCGAUUUCCCAGUUUGGAUCCUGCAUCCCUCCUGGAAUCAGCCCUGGCCUCACCCUGGCUGGGACAGCACCGGCACAGGGCCCCUUGGAGGGCUCACGCAUACGCCUGUUGGUUGGCUCAGCGGCUGACUGAAGCCCUGUGUCCAUGCCCUCUUCGGGGGCUCCACAUACCCCAGGGAAAGGAGCGCCCAAACCCUCUGCUCCUGGGAGCCGACAUCCAGUAGGGACAACAGACAGUGAACAAGCAUGGCUUUCAGUGCUGAUAGAGACAAACGAGAGCCAGGGAAGAAAGAGCAGCCACACUGGUCUGCCCGCCUUUGGUCUUGCCCCUUUGACCCAUUCUCCAUGAACUGCUGGAGGGAUCUCGGGUCCACCCAUGUUCUCUCCUUGCUCCAAAGCCUUUGCUGGCUCCCAGCACCUCCAAGUGAAAGUCCAAGCUGCCCAGCCAGGCAGAAGGCCCUGCGUGAUCUGGCCCCACCAACUUCAUCACCCAGCCCACCAGCUUCCUGUGUGCACCUCCCAGGCCUUCCCAGAGUCCUGCAUUUGGCUUGUUCUCAUCCUCACAGGCCCCCGGGCUGGGUUGCUUAGGAUGGUGUGUGCCUGGCCACUUGUGGCUCUGCCCAUCCUACGAUCCUGUGUGUGCAUGGGCCACACACCUGCUGCCACCACAGCUCAUGCACACGUGUGUGUCUUCUCUUCUCGCAGGUGGGCCCCGUUCCCAAGUGUCCUCCCCCUCAAAGAGGCCCAGGCGUAUGGCAGGGGCUGCCCAGGCAGGAAAGAUGCUUGGACAGGGAACUGCGGAGGUGAAAGUGUCCUUCAAGGAGAUCCAGACCGACCCCGCCUGACCAGUUCUGCCUCCACAUAAGGGAAGACUGAGGCCAGGCCUGGGACCCAGAAUUAAAGGUGUAUUUUUAUCCAUCCAUGGGCCAUGGUGGAAGACAAUGCUUCAAUGGAAUCCCUGUACACAUCUCAAUGUACUCGAAUCAGCAGUUCUGCAGCAUGAAUUUUUACAGGUGUGGAGUGGUAGACACACUUCAUGUUUUGAUAAAUGCAGCAAAUUGCUUUCCAAACACAAUGUAUCAAUAGAUCCAUUUACGCUCCUAGCGGCAGGGAAGUACCCA
Fukomys damarensis (Damara mole-rat) is the source of this 3007-nucleotide long non-coding RNA. RefSeq lists it as uncharacterized. The transcript is spliced from 4 exons. The record is from RefSeq and is a predicted model, not a curated record. NCBI's taxonomy places the organism in Eukaryota, Metazoa, Chordata, Mammalia, Rodentia, Bathyergidae.